UUUUAGCUCAGUGGUCGAGCGCAGGCUUUGGAAGCCACAGGUCGGUGGUUCGAACCCGCCAGGGCACAG
RNAcentral lists this transfer RNA (69 nucleotides) under Phytophthora infestans (potato late blight agent). Its description in RNAcentral is "tRNA-Pro". It matches the Rfam family "tRNA". From Rfam's summary of the family: Transfer RNA (tRNA) molecules are approximately 80 nucleotides in length. Lineage: Eukaryota; Oomycota; Peronosporomycetes; Peronosporales; Peronosporaceae. The record is from RNAcentral.